AUAUAUGAAUAUGUAUGUGUGUGUGUAUAUAUAUAUAUAUACAGUUAUACUUAUAUCUAUGUAUAUAUUUUCUGUAUAAUCAAGUGCAUGUGCCCAUUCUUCCAUCUCUAUAUCUGACUAGUAAGUCCUAAAGAGAACUCUCUUCAGCCCACUGAUGUUAUCCCAUCCUGCUCGCUGUCAUCUCAUCUCCCACCUUGAAAAGAGAUCUUGUCCAUCAGGCUGGAGACAGCUUACAAGCAGCUGCUGUUCAAGAUAUGAUCCCAAAAGGAAAGUCUAAUGCGAACCGUUCCUGACCAAGCACCUGGCAGAACUCAAAUCCACUUGCUGGUGAUGGGCAUCCUGGAUUUGUUCAAGGAGGUGAAGCUGGAAGAGACACUAGAACACGAGCCAUGGAGUGAUGACUGCCAACAUUAAAAAGCUCUGGACACCACUGCUUAAAGAGAGAGGUGAUUAGUUCAGUGAAUGCCAUCUCCUCAUGGUAGUAUCCAAUGCUCUCAUCAUCAGACAAUGGUGGCAAAGGUUUUAGGAGGAUCUGCAAAGGAGACAAGAGUAGAAGCAGAAGGAUGAAAAAUCAGUAUCUACAAACAUGAAACAGGCAGCCUGGAAAGAUAAUGGCCAUUAGAAAAAGCAGGUUUUCCAGAGAAAGCAGUCUGGAACAAGCCAAGAAGCAAGAAAUGAGCAUGUAUGCAUAGCAUCUUUCCAAAUGCCUGAAAGAAAAGACAGGGUUUUCACUGAGUCUGGAGACCCGCGAACCAAGAGGUGGGAGCAGGUGCCAAAACCUCAAGAGAGCACUCAGCCAGCAGCCCCUUCUUUUGAAGCAUCUCGGAGUCCAGCUUCCCCUUGGUAAUUCCAGAAAAGACAACACAGUUGCCCUGGAAGUCUUUGUAGUAACCUCUGUGUGAAACUUGGUAGAUCUAAACCAGCGCCCUGAACAGCACUCCAAAUCUGUCAGGCAGCAAGUCCAGGCAGCAGGACUUUAGGGAUCUCACUCCCACAUUCUGCAUCUCUCUUUUAUGAGCACCUUUUUUCCAGAGGCUCAACAGUGGUUUUGAGGCCCUGAAGAGGCCAGCAGGCAAAACAUGCCAUCCUCAGGCUGGUCCUUGAAGACCAGUACAGUACAUGGGUCAUUCAUCUUGGUGUCCCUUAACCUCCCAGCACAGGAAUCAGAGAUCUAGCCAACUUAGAAAUAAUUCCACCUAGUCCAGAUUUUCUUGAAAACAGUCCAGAAGAGGUAAUAGGAAUUCCAGUUUCAGUGGCUUAAAUUCCAUCUUGGCCUGUCUUUUUUCUUGUAAUUUCUUUUGGGUGCUACACCAGUGACUACAGUUCAAUUUCUAACAUCCAGGGUUUUCUUUUUUCUCUGCACAGCUUUUUUAUUUAGCUUGUUUAAUGAAAGCUUGUCCAACAUAGAAAGGCACAGGAGCUCAUGAGAGGUCAGGGACAUAUCUUCCCACUUAGCAGCAAUGAAAGGUGCUGUAAGUGAGAUAUAUUCCCUGCCCUCACCUGCCCUGCUACAUCAGGCAAACAACUUCUUAGUUUGACAUUGCUGUCUUUUAGUUAUAAAAGGGAAACAACUCCGUUGAAGAGGUUAAAUACCAAGCUUUAAGGUAUACAAAAGAUGCAGGGCAACUACUGAGGAAGAAGUGGACCCCUACCUUUUCCCAGCUUGCAGAAUGUGGGAGAUAAAUAUUCCUGACCAGCUCUGUCCCCAGAGCCGUGAACCUUCAUCAUCUGGGAGAGUACCCAGAUGCAUUUUGUCCUGGAGGUACCCAGACAUUUUGCACCCAGGGGCAUUGUUAGAUUCUCCUCCUGACAGUGUUGACUUUCUAUAAAUGUCUUUGUUAAAACCCAUCAGCUUCAGUAGAGUUCAGAGACAUCACAGAAAGAAGAAUUAGGCCUCAGAUGUCUCAGACUGAUGAUAUUACAGUAUGUUUAACUAUUGCUCAUAGCUGUAGGUGAGUGGAAAGUUUUUCAAUAAGCCACUAUUGUGUGUAUAUCAGAUUUUCCUGGUAUUUAAGAAGAAGGAACAAUAUCAUAAUUUUUGAGAGGCUCUGUUAAUUUUUGGACUCCUUUAGCAGGGGAAAGCAAAAGUAAUGGAAAACUAAAGACAGAACAAAAAUUAGAUUUUUGGUCUGAAAGAGCAGCUAGUGUGUACACAUAGGCAGAAAUGCACAUUUGCAUCUAUACACUUCUGCAUGUGUAUCUUUCUGGAAGUGAAGCAGUGUUACAGGGUAGUAUUCCCUCUACACUACUUAAAUUCCCUGAUUAAAGCAAAUGAGCCAAGAGAUAUUUAAGAGAGACACCAAUAACAGCUUAAAUAAUUACAGAUUCCAUGAUCCAGUUCUUUAACAGCAUAUGCUUAUUAUUUAAGAACAUGGGAUCAGACCUUGCAAAUCCACUGAAACUAGGUGAGACAAAGGGUAAGAUGUUGUUGUAACAGAGCAGGCAUAGGGGGCUGAGUAGUGUCAGGCACGGGGAUGCUGGUGGAUCGCACGUCACCUGCUUUUGGUCCUUGGCUGAAGACCUUGUCUUGCUGUGCCACACAAUUAGCUCCAGUUCCAUCCUUGAUAACAGAGGAAGGAGAGUUGACGCACAUCUUUUCAACUGCAGAUUACAUAAUGUUGUCUACAUUAUGUUAUUUUCCAAAGAGAAGCCUAAUUUUAGUGCUCAGGAGAUGGAGUUCAUACAGGGAACAAGAGAAUGAACUUUCUGAUCAUUGUAUUGAAUAAUGUUCAGCACAGCUCUUCAGAAAAAGUCUUAAUUCCUUUCCUGCAAAGUCUGGACCACCACUAUAGAUUGUCACACUGAUUUUAAACAAAAUGGAAAUCAAAUGUAUUUGCUCCUGAUGGGAGGAGGAUGUGAGAUGAAGACACCUUUUCUAAGCAGAACUGAGGAGAGGAAAGGAAUGUAAUUCUGCUAAGGAGUACACUUUACAUAUUCUUAUGGGUUUAUACCAAUGUAUAGAUCUCUUGACUCAGAGACAUAACCUCUCAAGUAUAUGAGAGUCCAGCUCAGCUCCAAUUUUUCCAGUUAAAAGUCCCACAUUGAUGGUUUUUGCAUGUUUUUUCUUUCAGACACUCUUGCUGCUGGUCCAGAAGUGCCUCUGCCUCAAAAGGUGUUUGAGACGUGGCUUUUUCUCAUUUUAAUAUGAUGAGCCAAAUGUUUCCUUUGAAUGAGCCUCAUGAAUAUCACAGACUGAGUCCUGCCAGAGUCAAAACUAUUGCAUAUUCUGAUUCUAUCUCAGUAUAGGUGCAUACUCAACAUCACACACAAUAAAAAAAUGCUUCCUUCCCCAGAAAUUCACUAUUUUAAGCUCACACAAAGCCCAUAAAGCUUCUUGGUGUUUAAUUCAUGGCUGAGCAGACUGUCCAUGUCUUAACAUACAAUGAUCUCAGGACCCUAUGAGGUAUUUACAUGGAAUGGUGCUUUAUGCAUUAACUGUUGGGCGGACCUUUACAAUGAGCCCUCCAAGAAUGUUAUAUUCUCUGCUCUCUGCCAAUUUAGAGAAGGGGCAAUUGUAUGAAGUCCAUGGUGUUGAUAACAGAAGACUGUAACUGCAUGCACUAAAUGUAUACCAUUUUGUGUGCAUACGUUGCAGUGUGCUGUUACAGCAUGCAAAUGUAUGCCAGCUCCGCCAUGCACAGAAAACUAGCUGACUUUAAAAUUUAAAAGUGGUCUUGUCUCUUAUAUCCUACUGGUAUCUUCAAAAUCCUAAAGGCAGCGAAAUCAAAUGUCCUUGGAAACUGUAAUCUUGUGUGUGCUACAGCAGGCACAUGUAAGCAGAGCAGCAGUGUCUGCUUCCUGGCCAAGUCUCUCACCAGUACACACAAAACCUGGCAGUCUCAGUGGGAGGUGGUAGCCCUGUUUCCACACAUACGCAAUCCUUUCCUCCCUGUGGAGGUGAAUGUGGAUGGUGAACAUACUGGUAUGCUCUGAGCAGGGGAAGGGGACAACCAAAUUCACUUUAUACAGAAAACCAAGAAGUCCCCUCAGGUAGCAAAUAUGUUCUCAAGGAUGCAGUCUGGCUUUCGGCUUUGAUUCAGUAGAAGACCACCACACACUUCUGUUCCCCUUUUAAGUCCUGUCCUGAAAGAUCUUUGACAAGUGUCCAGGGUUUUUAAAUCUGUACUAGAAGAUGAAGAGCAGAGAUGAACUCAGACCCAUCAAUAGUAACCAGCAGUGGGGACUGGGGUCCUCAGGUGCCAUGGGAUAGGAGGGAAUCUGGGGCAGGGAUGCCUAGGCAGAGGAGAG
This is a long non-coding RNA of Dromaius novaehollandiae (emu), 4248 nucleotides long. RefSeq lists it as uncharacterized. The record is from RefSeq and is a predicted model, not a curated record. Lineage: Eukaryota; Metazoa; Chordata; Aves; Casuariiformes; Dromaiidae. The transcript has 3 exons.